RNAcentral lists this transfer RNA (70 nucleotides) under Ailia coila. RNAcentral describes it as "tRNA-His". It matches the Rfam family "tRNA". Rfam says of the family: Transfer RNA (tRNA) molecules are approximately 80 nucleotides in length. Their secondary structure includes four short double-helical elements and three loops (D, anti-codon, and T loops). Lineage: Eukaryota; Metazoa; Chordata; Actinopteri; Siluriformes; Ailiidae. The record is from RNAcentral.
GUAGAUAUAGUUUAACACAAGACACUAGAUUGUGGUUCUAGAAAUAAGGGUUAAACCCCCUUUAUCCACC